This 1896-nucleotide long non-coding RNA is filed under the name Homo sapiens (human). Its description in RNAcentral is "HSALNT0318650". Lineage: Eukaryota; Metazoa; Chordata; Mammalia; Primates; Hominidae. The record is from RNAcentral.
UGUGGGUGGGAUGAGAGAUACAGCGUGCUGCCAAGGAUGGCCCAUCUUAAUGAGAGUUGUGGGAGAGAACAAGAUAUUCGCAGAGCACCCACUAGGUGCCAGUAAAUGUAUGAGAAGUCCUGUGGAAUAAGACUGAAGUUGUCCUUGCCUUCAAGCAACUUGCAAUUGCCUAAGAACACAGUUUAAAACCACAAAACUAAGCCUUGGAAAUCACAUGCUGUCAUUUCUGCGAUCGGUCAUAACCAGUCCUGAUUCCAUGUUAGAGGAGACUACAUAAGGACACAGGUACCAGAAGAUGAAAAAUUUGGAGUCUAGUGAAAAGAAGUGACUUGCUCAAAAUCACACAGCACAUGAAGAACAGAGCCUCUAUGAUGAAUUUCUUGACAGCUGAUAUAAGUCUUUUGAGGUACAGCCUGGCACAAAAAGGAUGAGAUUUGUGGGCAGAAUUUUGGAAGAAUAUCUCCCGAGAGAACAUUCAGGACAGAUUGCACUGCUUUGGAGAGCUGGUGAUGAAAUCCGGCCAUUGAAUUACACUGCACUAUAAACUUCAUUUGUUCUUGGGUGCAUAGUGAUUUGCUAUAAUAAUGAUCAUCCAUUUGCCAGACAGCUGAGAUUUUUUAAAAGCUUGAUUGCUUUUGGCAUGGCAUUAUUAGUCCUGGAAGAAGGCAGCACAUUUGUAGCAAUUCUCAGCUUGAGCAAACUAGAAUAUUCACCUCCCACAAAUGCUGGCCAUUUAAGAUCUGUGUGUUAGACUUUGGCAUUUUUUCUAGCAAUUCUACAACAGCAUACACACUUUUAUUUUUCAUUAACACCAUUGUGAAUAUGCCCAUCUCUAAAAUUUCAAGGGGGUUCACUUAAGCUACUGAGUUUUAUGGACAGAAGGGCCAAGAAAAGUCCCCAAAGAAGAGUGCAUGCUGUCAAUUGCCAAUUAUUUUUUUUUCUAAUGAAAGCCAAACAAUUCCAGACAAACCCUUUUCUAAGAAAUGAACUACAUAUCUGGAUCCAAAUAAAUACUCAUCUGAUAAGAAUCUAAAAGCUCUACUGAAUUACAGUGGAUGAGAACAUGAUGAUGGUGAUUCUUUGAAGAUUACUGAGGAAAUCAACUCUCAUGUCUGAUUCUGAUACUUUUAUAGUCCAUCCAUGUUGAAAAUGUCUAUGGAAUGAUUCUGUUGUACCUUGAGAAAUGAAAUUCAUAGGCAUGGAUUCUCUCACACAGCAACUUUAUACACAAAGAUGAGAAUAGAAGAAAGGUCAUUUCCAAAGAAAGUGACAUUUAUUCUGUAUUCACUGAAAAGCCAAAAGAAUUUUCUCAUUCACCCAUACCGACAGAGCCCUACAUCUCCCCGAGAAGAGGUGAAAGAGACUGCUCCUAUCUGCUUCUGCAUCAAACUUCAGGCUCAAGACCUGUCCAGAAAAAAAAAUGUCUUCUUUCAGGGAUGAACUGCUGUCCUCAUCAGACGCCUUAUUUUGUUUAGAAUUCAAGCUCACUUGACAGGUUAUUGUGAAGAUUAAAUGAAUUAAUACAUGUGAAGCAACUGUAACAACUCUUGACAUGCGUGGGCUGGACUUCCAGAAGAAACGUUGUCAGAACUCUGCCCAACUGAAAACAAGCCUACUAAAAAUAAAUAAAUAAAUAAAAUUUUAAAAAAUUGAUUAAUUAAAAGUAUUUUCUUGAGCACCUCCCAUGUAUUAACAAUCUCUGCAUUCACCAUUACCACCUAGUACUCUAACAAUUUUUGCAACAUAAAGGAAGUGACUGGGCUCAAAGUCUUUCCUUAUGUGACCUAGAUCAGUGCUUCUCUAAGUGUUGUAUACCUAAGAAGCACAAGAAGAGCCUGGUGAAACAAUUUCCUGGGACUCAUCUCCAGAGACUGAUUCAGUAGGUUUGAGGUAGAG